AACGAACGCUGGCGGCGUGGAUUAGGCAUGCAAGUCGAACGAGAUCCAGGAAUGUAGCAAUACAAGCCUGGUGACAGUGGCGGAAGGGUGAGUAACGCGUGGGCAAUCUGCCCUCAAGUUGGGGAUAGCUCUGCGAAAGCGGAAUUAAUACCGAAAUGUGGUCGUCCCGGGCAUCCGGGAUUAUCUAAAGCCGGGGACCCGCAAGGGCCUGGCGCUUGAGGAUGAGCCCCGCGUCCUAUCAGCUUGUUGGUGAGGUAACGGCUCACCAAGGCUUAGACGGGUAGCUGGUCUGAGAGGAUGGUCAGCCACACUGGGACUGAGACACUGCCCAGACUCCUACGGGAGCUGCAGUCGAGGAUCAUUUGCAAUGGGCGAAAGCCUGACAAUGCGACG
This 393-nucleotide ribosomal RNA is filed under the name uncultured bacterium. RNAcentral's name for it is "bacterial SSU rRNA". It matches the Rfam family "Bacterial small subunit ribosomal RNA", at positions 29 to 396 of the family's 1533-position model. The record is from RNAcentral.